GGGUUGUGAGGUUAAGCGACUAAGCGUACACGGUGGAUGCCCUGGCAGUCAGAGGCGAUGAAGGGCGUGCUAAUCUGCGAUAAGCGCCGGUAAGGUGAUAUGAACCGUUAUAACCGGCGAUACCCGAAUGGGGAAACCCAGUGUGACUCGUCACACUAUCAUUAACUGAAUCCAUAGGUUAAUGAGGCGAACCGGGGGAACUGAAACAUCUAAGUACCCCGAGGAAAAGAAAUCAACCGAGAUUCCCCCAGUAGCGGCGAGCGAACGGGGAGGAGCCCAGAGCCUGAAUCAGCAUGUGUGUUAGUGGAAGCGUCUGGAAAGGCGCGCGAUACAGGGUGACAGCCCCGUACACAAAAGCGCAUGUGCUGUGAGCUCGAUGAGUAGGGCGGGACACGUGGUAUCCUGUCUGAAUAUGGGGGGACCAUCCUCCAAGGCUAAAUACUCCUGACUGACCGAUAGUGAACCAGUACCGUGAGGGAAAGGCGAAAAGAACCCCGGCGAGGGGAGUGAAAAAGAACCUGAAACCGUGUACGUACAAGCAGUGGGAGCACAGGUUUACCUGUGUGACUGCGUACCUUUUGUAUAAUGGGUCAGCGACUUAUAUUCUGUAGCAAGGUUAACCGAAUAGGGGAGCCGGAGGGAAACCGAGUCUUAAUUGGGCGUUAAGUUGCAGGGUAUAGACCCGAAACCCGGUGAUCUAGCCAUGGGCAGGUUGAAGGUUGGGUAACACUAACUGGAGGACCGAACCGACUAAUGUUGAAAAAUUAGCGGAUGACCUGUGGCUGGGGGUGAAAGGCCAAUCAAACCGGGAGAUAGCUGGUUCUCCCCGAAAGCUAUUUAGGUAGCGCCUCGUGAAUUCAUCUCCGGGGGUAGAGCACUGUUUCGGCUAGGGGGCCAUCCCGGCUUACCAACCCGAUGCAAACUGCGAAUACCGGAGAAUGUUAUCACGGGAGACACACGGCGGGUGCUAACGUCCGUCGUGAAGAGGGAAACAACCCAGACCGCCAGCUAAGGUCCCAAAGUCAUGGUUAAGUGGGAAACGAUGUGGGAAGGCCCAGACAGCCAGGAUGUUGGCUUAGAAGCAGCCAUCAUUUAAAGAAAGCGUAAUAGCUCACUGGUCGAGUCGGCCUGCGCGGAAGAUGUAACGGGGCUAAACCAUGCACCGAAGCUGCGGCAGCGACACUGUGUGUUGUUGGGUAGGGGAGCGUUCUGUAAGCCUGUGAAGGUGGCCUGUGAGGGUUGCUGGAGGUAUCAGAAGUGCGAAUGCUGACAUAAGUAAC
This 1280-nucleotide ribosomal RNA is filed under the name Salmonella enterica subsp. enterica serovar Newport. Its description in RNAcentral is "bacterial LSU rRNA". It matches the Rfam family "Bacterial large subunit ribosomal RNA", at positions 1 to 1310 of the family's 2925-position model. Lineage: Bacteria; Pseudomonadati; Pseudomonadota; Gammaproteobacteria; Enterobacterales; Enterobacteriaceae. The record is from RNAcentral.